GACGAACGCUGGCGGCGUGCCUAAUACAUGCAAGUUGAGCGCUGAAGGUUGGUACUUGUACCAACUGGAUGAGCAGCGAACGGGUGAGUAACGCGUGGGGAAUCUGCCUUUGAGCGGGGGACAACAUUUGGAAACGAAUGCUAAUACCGCAUAAAAACUUUAAACACAAGUUUUAAGUUUGAAAGAUGCAACUGCAUCACUCAAAGAUGAUCCCGCGUUGUAUUAGCUAGUUGGUGAGGUAAAGGCUCACCAAGGCGAUGAUACAUAGCCGACCUGAGAGGGUGGUCGGCCACAUUGGGACUGAGGCACGGCCCAAACUCCUACGGGAGGCAGCAGUAGGGAAUCUUCGGCAAUGGACGAAAGUCUGACCGAGCAACGCCGCGUGAGUGAAGAAGGUUUUCGGAUCGUAAAACUCUGUUGGUAGAGAAGAACGUUGGUGAGAGUGGAAAGCUCAUCAAGUGACGGUAACUACCCAGAAAGGGACGGCUAACUACGUG
This 497-nucleotide ribosomal RNA is filed under the name uncultured bacterium. Its description in RNAcentral is "partial 16S ribosomal RNA". It matches the Rfam family "Bacterial small subunit ribosomal RNA", at positions 28 to 507 of the family's 1533-position model. The record is from RNAcentral.